Molecule: ribosomal RNA, 60 nt
Filed under: uncultured bacterium
Lineage: Bacteria
Description: partial 16S ribosomal RNA
Source: RNAcentral
AGAAGUGGCUGCGCCAACCGCAAGGAGGCAGGUCCCAAGGAGUGCACGGUAACUGGGGUG